UUGUUGGUAAGGUAAAAGCUUACCAAGGCUUCGAUCAGUAGCUGGUCUGAGAGGACGACCAGCCACACUGGGACUGAGACACGGCCCAGACUCCUACGGGAGGCAGCAGUGGGGAAUUUUGGACAAUGGGGGCAACCCUGAUCCAGCCAUGCCGCGUGAGUGAAGAAGGCCUUCGGGUUGUAAAGCUCUUUCAGCCGGAACGAAACGGUUACGGAUAAUACCCGUGACUACUGACGGUACCGGAAGAAGAAGCACCGGCUAACUACGUGCCAGCAGCCGCGGUAAUACGUAGGGUGCAAGCGUUAAUCGGAAUUACUGGGCGUAAAGCGUGCGCAGGUGGUUUUGUAAGUCAGAUGUGAAAGCCCCGGGCUCAACCUGGGAACUGCGUUUGAAACUACAAGACUAGAGUGUGGCAGAGGGGGGUGGAAUUCCGCGUGUAGCAGUGAAAUGCGUAGAGAUGUGGAGGAACACCGAUGGCGAAGGCAGCCCCCUGGGUUAACACUGACACUCAGGCACGAAAGCAUGGGGAGCAAACAGGAUUAGAUACCCUGGUAGUCCAUGCCCUAAACGAUGUCAACUAGUUGUCGGGCCUUUACGGGCUUGGUAACGUAGCUAACGCGUGAAGUUGACCGCCUGGGGAGUACGAUCGCAAGAUUAAAACUCAAAUGAAUUGACGGGGACCCGCACAAGCGGUGGAUUAUGUGGAUUAAUUCGAUGCAACGCGAAAAACCUUACCUACCCUUGACAUGUAUCGAAGCCCGCAGAAAAGCGGGGGUGCCCGAAAGGGAACGAUAACACAGGUGCUGCAUGGCUGUCGUCAGCUCGCGUCGUGAGAUGUUGGGUUAAGUCCCGCAACGAGCGCAACCCUUGUCAUUAAUUGCCAUCAUUUAGUUGGGCACUUUAAUGAGACUGCCGG
Molecule: ribosomal RNA, 916 nt
Filed under: uncultured bacterium
Lineage: Bacteria
Description: bacterial SSU rRNA
Rfam family: Bacterial small subunit ribosomal RNA
Source: RNAcentral